UACGGAGGGUGCAAGCGUUGUUCGGAAUCACUGGGCGUAAAGCGCGUGUAGGCGGCCAUCUAAGUCUGGUGUGAAAGCCCUGGGCUCAACCCAGGAAGUGCACUGGAUACUGGAUGGCUGGAGUACCGGAGAGGAGGGUGGAAUUCCUGGUGUAGCGGUGAAAUGCGUAGAUAUCAGGAGGAACACCGGUGGCGAAGGCGUCCCUCUGGCCGGAUACUGACGCUGAGACGCGAAAGCGUGGGGAGCGAACAGG
RNAcentral lists this ribosomal RNA (253 nucleotides) under uncultured bacterium. RNAcentral describes it as "partial 16S ribosomal RNA". It matches the Rfam family "Bacterial small subunit ribosomal RNA", at positions 524 to 776 of the family's 1533-position model. The record is from RNAcentral.